This 107-nucleotide ribosomal RNA is filed under the name Pogona vitticeps (central bearded dragon). The record is from RNAcentral. Lineage: Eukaryota; Metazoa; Chordata; Lepidosauria; Squamata; Agamidae.
UCUGGGCUACCUAAAACACACCCAUUCUUGUCUGAUUUUGGCACCUAAGCAGGGGAUGCUUAGUACUUGGCUGGGAGACCAUCAAGGAUCUCCUGGCAGGGCCAGGA